Molecule: small nuclear RNA, 193 nt
Organism: Ipomoea nil (Japanese morning glory)
Lineage: Eukaryota; Viridiplantae; Streptophyta; Magnoliopsida; Solanales; Convolvulaceae
Rfam family: U2 spliceosomal RNA
About the family: U2 is a small nuclear RNA (snRNA) component of the spliceosome (involved in pre-mRNA splicing). Complementary binding between U2 snRNA (in an area lying towards the 5' end but 3' to hairpin I) and the branchpoint sequence (BPS) of the intron results the bulging out of an unpaired adenosine, on the BPS, which initiates a nucleophilic attack at the intronic 5' splice site, thus starting the first of two transesterification reactions that mediate splicing.
Source: Rfam
AUCAAAAUGGCGCUGACUCCAAAAUCAAGUGUAGUAUCUGUUCUUAUCAAUUUAAUAUCUGAUACGUGGGCUACUAGUACACAUGAUAUUAACUCACUUUUUUUAGGGGGAAGGCCCGUCAAGGCAGCUUGCUGUCUGGGCCUUCGAGCGUUGCCUUGGCAUUGCACUAUUGCUUCGGCCUGGCGCACCCCAU